RNAcentral lists this long non-coding RNA (225 nucleotides) under Salvia miltiorrhiza (redroot sage). RNAcentral describes it as "long non-coding RNA (SMIL_LNC003189)". Lineage: Eukaryota; Viridiplantae; Streptophyta; Magnoliopsida; Lamiales; Lamiaceae. The record is from RNAcentral.
GAAGAUUUUGAUGUUAUUUGAGAAGAGUUCAUGAAAAUACGAGUUCGUGGGUGCAAACAGAGCUCUAAUCGAAUGUCGGAUGAGGGAGAACGGACAUCGGGAAGUUCGCGUGUCGCGAACACACGCAGCCGCAUGCCUAACCGCGCCUCACGGAGGUCCCGCAGGCAAGGGCCGCGACCGCGGGGCAAUGUAGAACUUUCGAGCAGACAGCGCAUGCCAAGGCCG